GCUGAGGUCGCAUAACCCGGUAGUGCACCGGUCUUGAAAACCGGCAGGCGCAAGCCUAUGGGGGUUCAAAUCCCCUCCUCAGCG
This 84-nucleotide transfer RNA is filed under the name Candidatus Aenigmatarchaeota archaeon. RNAcentral's name for it is "tRNA-Ser". It matches the Rfam family "tRNA". From Rfam's summary of the family: Transfer RNA (tRNA) molecules are approximately 80 nucleotides in length. Their secondary structure includes four short double-helical elements and three loops (D, anti-codon, and T loops). Further hydrogen bonds mediate the characteristic L-shaped molecular structure. tRNAs have two regions of fundamental functional importance: the anti-codon, which is responsible for specific mRNA codon recognition, and the 3' end, to which the tRNAs corresponding amino acid is attached (by aminoacyl-tRNA synthetases). tRNAs cope with the degeneracy of the genetic code in two manners: having more than one tRNA (with a specific anti-codon) for a particular amino acid; and 'wobble' base-pairing, i.e. permitting non-standard base-pairing at the 3rd anti-codon position. The record is from RNAcentral. Lineage: Archaea; Nanobdellati; Candidatus Aenigmatarchaeota.